Molecule: ribosomal RNA, 530 nt
Filed under: Sechellophryne gardineri (Gardiner's Seychelles frog)
Lineage: Eukaryota; Metazoa; Chordata; Amphibia; Anura; Sooglossidae
Description: partial 16S ribosomal RNA
Rfam family: Bacterial large subunit ribosomal RNA
Source: RNAcentral
CAUCGCCUCCCGAUAAAACAUGGGAGGUCCUGCCUGCCCAGUGAUUUUUAACGGCCGCGGUAUUUUAACCGUGCAAAGGUAGCGCAAUCACUCGUCCUUUAAAUAAGGACUAGUAUGAACGGCCACACGAGGGCUGCACUGUCUCCUUUUCCCUGUCAAUGAACCUGGCCUUCCAGUGAAGAGACUGGAAUACACCCAUAAGACGAAAAGACCCCAUGGAGCUUUAGAUAAACACUACGCACCCAUAAAUUUAAGCGCUAGCACACUUAUCUUCGGUUGGGGUGACCACGGAGAAAAAUAAACCCUCCACGACAACAAGCCUAAACACACAACCUCAAGCAUCAAUAUCUUGACACUUCUGACCCAAUAAUAAUUGAUCAACGAACUAAGUUACCCUGGGGAUAACAGCGCAAUCCAUUUCAAGAGCUCAUAUCAACAAAUGGGUUUACGACCUCGAUGUUGGAUCAGGGUAUCCUAGUGGUGCAACCGCUACUAAAGGUUCGUUUGUUCAACGAUUAAAACCCUACGUG